GCUUGUCUCAAAGAUUAAGCCAUGCAUGUCUAAGUAUAACUCUUUUACUUUGAAAACUGCGAACGGCUCAUUAUAUCAGUUAUAGUUUCUUUGAUAGUCCCUUACUACUUGGAUACCCGUAGUAAUUCUAGAGCUAAUACAUGCAUCAAGCAGUCUCACGGCUGUGUAUUUAUUAGAUACAAUCAGCCCCCUCGGGGUCAUGAUGAAUCAUAAUAACUGAACGAAGCGCAUGCUCACGCGGCGCUGUUUCAUUCAAGUUUCUGCCCUAUCAGCUUUCGAUGGUAGGGUAUUGGCCUACCAUGGCGUUAACGGGUAACGGAGAAUUAGGGUUCGAUUCCGGAGAGGGAGCCUGAGAGAUGGCUACCACAUCCAAGGAAGGCAGCAGG
RNAcentral lists this ribosomal RNA (386 nucleotides) under uncultured Bicosoecida. RNAcentral's name for it is "partial small subunit ribosomal RNA". It matches the Rfam family "Eukaryotic small subunit ribosomal RNA", at positions 30 to 432 of the family's 1831-position model. Lineage: Eukaryota; Bigyra; Bicosoecida. The record is from RNAcentral.